This is a long non-coding RNA of Drosophila ananassae, 343 nucleotides long. RefSeq lists it as uncharacterized. The transcript is spliced from 2 exons. The record is from RefSeq and is a predicted model, not a curated record. NCBI's taxonomy places the organism in Eukaryota, Metazoa, Arthropoda, Insecta, Diptera, Drosophilidae.
AAAAAUGCAUAUUAUUUCGUAUAAAAGAAAAAUAGCGGGAGGGAAAGGAUAAAAAUAAGGUGGAGUGACCAACACUUUCUUCAAUUCACAUUUUAUAAAUUUAUUAUAAAGCAAAGUCCAAAUCAAUGAUCAUCUCUGGGUUCUGACGGAUUCAUAUCUAUAAUAUUUACAAUUGGAUUAUGAUAACUAAAAUACGAUAUGAAAUGUCUUACAUCUAUUUUAUCUAUAUUUCUCGCAAAUACCGCAUCAAUAGUCGUACCUCCUUUUGUCGUCGGAUCAUUUCUUCCAUUGAUCAUUUCUAAUGAAAAUUUCUCUCUGAGGAAUGCCAGCAAUGGUUCAGCUU